This is a long non-coding RNA of Gavialis gangeticus (Gharial), 1496 nucleotides long. RefSeq lists it as uncharacterized. The transcript has 3 exons. NCBI's taxonomy places the organism in Eukaryota, Metazoa, Chordata, Crocodylia, Gavialidae. The record is from RefSeq and is a predicted model, not a curated record.
ACUUCAUGCCUAAGCAAAACUUAAAGUGGUUAUGUGAUCAGCUUUGAAAUCUUCUUGUUGGUCAUUGUAGGUCAAGAGAAGACAGUAGAUGCAAAAGAUCUGUUUUCUUUACCACUCACCAGACUGAAAAUAAUGCCUGGGAGAAGCCUGAGGCUGGAGAGGAUUCUUCGAAGAAAAGAGACCUGAGAAAGGGUACUUCAUAUCCAACCCAACUAUACACUUUGUCCAAUGAAAGAUAACAUCCACAAAAAUACUCACCUCUUGCACUUUUUCCUGGACCAUCUACAACACCACCCCAAGGCUGUAUUUAAUUCUUAUUCUGGUCUACUCCUUCAGCUCUCGAAUUGUUUUUGGCAUUUUAAAUGCCCUGCCCCCUUGUUUUCAAAUGCAAUACUUAUAUAAGUUUUCCUGUAAAAACCUGUUUGCCAGUAUAAUGUAAGAGGUUUGCCUUUUCAGUGGCUGGCCACUAUGUUUAACAUGAGCUGUGAGGGGUAUUUUGGAUAUGACCCGAAGGUGUUUGCAGCUGGCAAACAUGUAGGAAAGCAGAGUUCAGUUAAGGACAACAUUCAGGCAUAGAAAUACAGUCUCAGGCUAUUUGUUUUAACUAGGAAUCUGCCUCAUUUUCAGUUGUUUGCUUUCAUAUUUGCUUGUUGGGUCCAGGCAAUAGAAUCCAGUGUCUUUCAUAACUUUCAGUAGGUAGAAAAAUCAAUAUUUAAUCACAACAUUUUUCAGGAACAAUCACAGUUUUUUAGUGAAAAAUUGGGAAGAUUUGAGAUACUAAAAGGAAAUGUUCCUGUCUGAUUUUUGCUGGUCUCGGGGUAUAGGCAAGCAUAACAAUUGUUUUGAAAUCAAAAGAGAGUGAUAUUAAGCUCUAACAGUGUAGCUUAUGUCUUCAUAAUUUUGUAGCCAUACAAGUGUAGCAGAACCAUUUCAGCUUUAACCUUAUUUCAUUCAGGGUCAAAGUUAGGGAAGUUAAACUAAUUUGUAUCACAAUACUAGUAUGCAGAUAUAAGUAGGGACCUACUUAAUUUGUGGCUUUGCAGUAUUUGUGGAAAUUGCAAAAUCCGAGAUUGUCUGAGAAAUUGGAAAAAGCACGCCCCCCCUCCAAAAAAGGUAACAAAAAUAAGUCCUUCCUGGGAGUGGGAGGUACUGGCUGGCUGGGUGGCAUGAAGGGCAGCAGACAAGAUGGCAGCUGCCCCUUGUACCUCCUCCUCCUGCCGGGACCUCUCUGCUAAUCAGCACUGGGGGGCAAGGUUGAGAGAAGGGCAGCAAGCAGUCAAGAUGGUGGCUGCUUGCUCAUUCCCUCCUCCUCCCCACUCAGGGCCUCUCCGCCAAUUAACACUGAGGGGUGGGGCUCCCACCAAAUGACUGUGGAAUUAGAGCUUUAGGCCGCAACCAGCCUGUGAAAAUUGCUUGAGGAACCUAGAACUGAAAUACUUACAAUAUGGCUUCUCAGUGGAUCAGAAAGUGAUCCAGAAAGAAUGAAACACUUGCAG